This 420-nucleotide ribosomal RNA is filed under the name uncultured Nitrososphaerota archaeon. RNAcentral describes it as "bacterial SSU rRNA". It matches the Rfam family "Archaeal small subunit ribosomal RNA", at positions 459 to 879 of the family's 1478-position model. Lineage: Archaea; Thermoproteati; Nitrososphaerota. The record is from RNAcentral.
CAGCCGCCGCGGUAAAACCAGCACCUCAAGUGGUCAGGAUGAUUAUUGGGCCUAAAGCAUCCGUAGCCGGCUCUGUAAGUUUUCGGUUAAAUCUGUAUGCUCAACAUACAGGCUGCCGGGAAUACUGCAGAGCUAGGGAGUGGGAGAGGUAGACGGUACUCGGUAGGAAGGGGUAAAAUCCUUUGAUCUAUCGAUGACCACCUGUGGCGAAGGCGGUCUACCAGAACACGUCCGACGGUGAGGGAUGAAAGCUGGGGGAGCAAACCGGAUUAGAUACCCGGGUAGUCCCAGCUGUAAACUAUGCAAACUCAGUGAUGCAUUGGCUUAUGGCCAAUGCAGUGCUGCAGGGAAGCCGUUAAGUUUGCCGCCUGGGAAGUACGUACGCAAGUAUGAAACUUAAAGGAAUUGGCGGGGGAGCAC